This 500-nucleotide ribosomal RNA is filed under the name uncultured bacterium. Its description in RNAcentral is "bacterial SSU rRNA". It matches the Rfam family "Bacterial small subunit ribosomal RNA", at positions 861 to 1360 of the family's 1533-position model. The record is from RNAcentral.
UAAGUUAUCCACCUGGGGAGUACGACCGCAAGGUUGAAACUCAAAGGAAUUGACGGGGGCCCGCACAAGCGGAGGAACAUGUGGUUUAAUUCGAUGAUACGCGAGGAACCUUACCCGGGCUCGAACGGUGCAUGAAUAUACGAGAGAUUGUAUAGUCCUUCGGGACAUGUAUCGAGGUGCUGCAUGGUUGUCGUCAGCUCGUGCCGUGAGGUGUCGGCUUAAGUGCCAUAACGAGCGCAACCCUUGUCAUUAGUUGCCAUCAGGUCAAGCUGGGGACUUUAAUGAGACUGCCACCGUAAGGUGUGAGGAAGGGGGGGAUGACGUCAAAUCAGCACGGCCCUUAUGUCCGGGGCGACACACGUGUUACAAUGGGAGGUACAGAGGGCAGCUAUCCGGUGACGGAAUGCUAAUCUCCAAAACCUUUCUCAGUUCGGAUUGGAGUCUGCAACUCGACUCCAUGAGUGGUGGAUUCGCUAGUAAUCGCGCAUCAGCCAUGGCGC